UUCUUCGUCGGGGUCUAAGUUCAGGAGGGUUCCGGAUAUUUCUCUCUCAUCACUAACAGUUAAAGCACCUUUUCCGUGUAUGCAUAUAUGCAUAUAUAAACCACCUCUCUCCCCUGUUUUCUUCACAACCGCAUCCACACACAAAGCAAUUCCUCCAAAGUCAGCAGAAUUAAAACUCUCUCUCUCUCCACUCUUCCCCUUUGUUGUAGUCCUCCUUUUAUUAGUCUUGCUCCCAAACCCAAAAAAAAAAAUCCAAGAAGAAGAUAGCAUAAGCAUAAUCAAAGUCAUGUUGAUGUCUUUAUUCAGUUCUUUUGAUGCCCUUUGUGCCGAAUCCUUCGGCCAAAAGUCAUGGGCACCCGGUGCUUCUAAAAGCCACCAUCAACAACAAGAAGAAGGGGGUCAGGGUCUCCUCUUGUUGUUUCCUCCGAGCGCAAGGCGGCAGGCCUAGUGUCACUUGAUGAUGCUGGCGGCAAGAACAAAGGCAAACAAGGAAAUAGGCCGUCAUCCCCUGAGGCCAACAAGUCUGGAGAUCAUCAUCAUCGUCCGUUGCAGCAGAAAAGGAGACCAAGGUUCGCCGUGGAAUUGGAUGGGCUGCACUGUUUCGAAACCAUCAUCCCCUAUUAAUCGAUUAUUGAUUUUACUUUGUGGUAGUGGCAGAAACAGAUUUUGAUUCUUUAUCCGAUCCCCUUCAUUUUAAGUGCGUAUAGAUGUUGUCAAUUUGGUAUAGCACUAGUCUGUUACUACAGCAUUCUUUGUUUUCCCUUUUCUUUUCAAAAAUCAAUGGAGUUGCUGCCGUUUUUUCAUUCUUCGAUUUCCUGUUAUGAUCCGUGGGAUUGUCCGAUCGUCUUCUCGCUCGCGUACUGUUGCAUAUACUACUAUUAUACUGAUGAUCUUCUUUUGCUGCUCCUGAACCACUAUGAUGAGAGACUGCCGAAAGAAGCAUCUUAUAUUUACCCACGACGUUCAAAAUACAACAGGGAGACCCUUAAGCUUACCCACAAAAGCUAUUUUUGUAAUUUUUAAGAGUUUUUGAUUUCACGACGGACGGAAGGACUGCGUUUGGUCGCUAAUUCUUUAGAGGGGUUGCGUUGCAGAGUGAAUCUCAAACUCAGUACUCUGUACCCCCUUAAGCUCGUUGGCUUUCUUUAGUCUCACAUAUGAUAUCUAUCAGGCUUUCUCUGCAAGGAAAAAGUCAUCCGUGGUUGCUGCUACAAAGCAACUAAUCGAACCUUACCCUUUCAACAUUAUUUGCUGAAGAGAGGUGGUAAAUCGCUUUCUUUCUUCCUCUCCCCUGGCUUGGGAACUUCUUUCACGUGGGAUCUCUUCUUUGUUCCUGGAAAAAGAAGUGGAGUGCCGGAGAGAAAACGUGAUGCUAGUACGAGGUGAUGUAUAGAGAUAUAGACUGAAAAUAAGGUGAAGAAAGAAACGGGAAUUGACAGUGUAGUAUUUGGGCACGGCAAGCAAAAACUUGGAUAGAUCUGCUGUAAUAGAUUUCGUCACAUUUUUAUUUAUUGUGUAUUUAAUACUUGAAUUAGUGACAAAUUUUGAAUUACUUGAUGGAUCUCGUAAAUAAAUUAGAUCUACCCAAGUUUUUGCC
Non-coding RNA from Coffea arabica (coffee), 1597 nucleotides. The record is from RefSeq and is a predicted model, not a curated record. NCBI's taxonomy places the organism in Eukaryota, Viridiplantae, Streptophyta, Magnoliopsida, Gentianales, Rubiaceae.